AUACAGAAUCACUCCCUUCUGCUCAUUCUCAGCCCAUUUCAGUGCCAACUAGAGCAGGAUUCAGCCAACGGAAUUCGGAUUUUGGAAACCAAGCAGCAAAAGGAAUGGAGAAGGUGAAGUCUUUCUACAUUGAGUGAUCAGGCCCAGGAUCAGGAUGCAGCUCUGUAAGCUGAGACUGGUGAUAGCAAAGCCUGAGACAAUAUGUAAGGUGGAAGCCUUUGGUUUCUCUGCACCCUCUACUGCCUGAAACAGCGCUGUGGGUCCUCACACCUCUCUGAGUCGAUCCUUCCCUUUCCGGAGGUACUACAGCUGUUAGUAUUAUUUCCUAAGACAGUGUGUUUAUCUUGUGAGGAUGUGAAAGGGGAAAAGAUGGGAAACAGUUUUUCUGUGCACUUUAUUGUCAUCCACUGAAGAGCGUUCCCUGAAAUGAAAGUGAACCCUCCGCCAGACUGCCACCUCCUGGUGAGCACUGAGCGCGUUUCUCACGUUACUGCGCCUGCCGCUGCCCUCACGGCUAUCAUCGUUACCUCAGCACGCCCAGCUGCAGAUCCCAGCACGCAGCGCCGGACCGCACUGCAAGCAGCGAACCCUUCCUGGCCCAGCGAUCCUUCCCAACAACUCUGACUGCAGCCGAACCCCGCCGAGGAGCCGCGCUUCCAUACGGGGCUGUUCUCUAUUCAUUUCUAGUUCGUUUUUACAGAUUUUGACUGGGUGAGCUGAGUGCAUGAAGCACUCGUGCAAAAGCAGUUAAGCUUCUGUCCUCUGGCC
This is a long non-coding RNA of Gallus gallus (chicken), 768 nucleotides long. Lineage: Eukaryota; Metazoa; Chordata; Aves; Galliformes; Phasianidae. The record is from Ensembl.